GACCGUCCGAGUUGUAAUCUAGAGAAUUGUUACCCGUGCUGGACUGUGUAAAAGUCUCCUGGAAUGGGGCAUCAUAGAGGGUGAGAAUCCCGUCUUUGACACGGACUGCCAGUGCACUGUGGGUGUGCUCUCAAAGAGUCGAGUUGUUUGGGAAUGCAGCUCAAAAUGGGUGGUAAAUGCCAUCUAAAGCUAAAUAUUGGCGAGAGACCGAUAGCGAACAAGUACCGUGAGGGAAAGAUGAAAAGAACUUUGGAAAGAGAGUUAAACAGUACGUGAAAUUGCUGAAAGGGAAACGCUUGAAGUCAGUCGCGUCGGCAGGAAAUCAGCCUUGCUUUUGCUUGGUGUACUUUCCUGUCUUGACGGGUCAGCAUCAAUCUUGACCAUUGGAUAAAGUCUGUGGGAAUGUGGCAUCUCUUGGAUGUGUUAUAGCCCAUGGUCGCAUACGGUGGUUGGGAUUGAGGAACUCAGCACGCCCGCAAGGGACGGGUUUCGACCACGUUUUCGUGCUUAGGAUGCUGGCAUAAUGGCUUUAAUCGACCCGUCUUGAAACACGGACCAAGGAGUCUAACAUGCCUGCGAGUGUUUGGGUGGAAAAACCCAUGCGCGCAAUGAAAGUGAAAGUUGAGAUCUCUGUCAAAGGAGAGCAUUGACGCCCAGACCAGACCUUUUGUGACGGAUCUGCGGUAGAGCAUGUGUGUUGGGACCCGAAAGAUGGUGAACUAUGCCUGAAUAGGGUGAAGCCAGAGGAAACUCUGGUGGAGGCUCGUAGCGAUUCUGACGUGCAAAUCGAUCGUCAAAUUUGGGUAUAGGGGCGAAAGACUAAUCGAACCAUCUAGUACCUGGUUCCUGCCGAAKUUUCCCUCAGAUAGCAGAAACUCAUAUCAAAUUUAUGUGGUAAAGCGAAUGAUUWAAGGCCUUGGGGUUGAAAMACCUUAACCUAUUCUCAAACUUUAAAAAUUUAAAAACAAGCCGUCYYUU
RNAcentral lists this ribosomal RNA (978 nucleotides) under Inocybe cf. intricata PAM08071405. RNAcentral's name for it is "eukaryotic LSU rRNA". It matches the Rfam family "Eukaryotic large subunit ribosomal RNA", at positions 132 to 1092 of the family's 3401-position model. Lineage: Eukaryota; Fungi; Basidiomycota; Agaricomycetes; Agaricales; Inocybaceae. The record is from RNAcentral.